This 451-nucleotide ribosomal RNA is filed under the name uncultured bacterium. RNAcentral's name for it is "bacterial SSU rRNA". It matches the Rfam family "Bacterial small subunit ribosomal RNA", at positions 354 to 796 of the family's 1533-position model. The record is from RNAcentral.
GUGAGGAAUUUUGCGCAAUGGGGGAAACCCUGACGCAGCAACGCCGCGUGAGUGAAGAAGGCCUUCGGGUCGUAAAGCUCUGUCAAUCGGGAAGAAAGUGGUAUGAGGGAAUAUGGCAUAUUAUUGACGGUACCGAUGAAGGAAGCACCGGCUAACUCCGUGCCAGCAGCCGCGGUAAUACGGAGGGUGCGAGCGUUAUUCGGAAUUAUUGGGCGUAAAGGGCGCGCAGGCGGUUUUUUAAGUCUGAUGUGAAAGCCCCGGGCUUAACCCGGGAAGUGCAUUGGAAACUGGGAGACUUGAGUAUGGGAGAGGAAAGCGGAAUUCCUGGUGUAGAGGUGAAAUUCGUAGAUAUCAGGAGGAACACCGGUGGCGAAAGCGGCUUUCUGGACCAAUACUGACGCUGAGGUGCGAAGGCGUGGGGAGCAAACAGGAUUAGAUACCCGAGUAGUCC